UAGGGAAUAUUAGAAAUGGACGAAAGUCUGAUCUAGCAACACCGCGUGUGCGAAGAAGGCCUUCGGGUUGUAAAGCACUUUUUGGAAGGAUUAGGAAGGAAUGUACUUCCAGAAUAAGUCUCGGCUAACUACGUGCCAGCAGCCGCGGUAACACGUAGGAGGCAAACGUUAUCCGGAUUUACUGGGCGUAAAGCGCGUGUAGGUGGUUUGGUAAGUAGAGCGUGAAAGCUCCUGGCUCAACUGGGAGAGGUCGUUCUAAACUGCCGGACUAGAGGAUGGUAGAGGGAGGUGGCAUUCCGGGUGUAGCGGUGGAAUGCGCAGAUAUCCGGAGGAACACCAGUGGCGAAAGCGGCCUGCUGGACCACUCCUGACACUCAGACGCGAAAGCUAGGGUAGCAAACGGUAUUAGAUAUCUUGGUAGUC
This 423-nucleotide ribosomal RNA is filed under the name uncultured prokaryote. RNAcentral's name for it is "bacterial SSU rRNA". It matches the Rfam family "Bacterial small subunit ribosomal RNA", at positions 355 to 795 of the family's 1533-position model. The record is from RNAcentral.